This 194-nucleotide ribosomal RNA is filed under the name uncultured bacterium. Its description in RNAcentral is "partial 16S ribosomal RNA". It matches the Rfam family "Bacterial small subunit ribosomal RNA", at positions 338 to 524 of the family's 1533-position model. The record is from RNAcentral.
CCUACGGGAGGCAGCAGUGGGGAAUUUUGGACAAUGGGGGAAACCCUGAUCCAGCCAUCCCGCGUGUGCGAUGAAGGCCUUCGGGUUGUAAAGCACUUUUGUCAGGGAAGAAAAGGUUCUGGCUAAUACCCGGAACUGAUGACGGUACCUGAAGAAUAAGCACCGGCUAACUACGUGCCAGCAGCCGCGGUAAU